RNAcentral lists this long non-coding RNA (518 nucleotides) under Ananas comosus (pineapple). Its description in RNAcentral is "long non-coding RNA (ACOM_LNC024270)". Lineage: Eukaryota; Viridiplantae; Streptophyta; Magnoliopsida; Poales; Bromeliaceae. The record is from RNAcentral.
AUUUAGUAUUAGCUGUGAGUAGGGUUUGUAAUUUAGUUCGUUAUUCGAGAACUAGCUGGUGUUCAGCUCGAUAUGAGCUCGAGAUUGAUCGUUCGUUUAAUAAACAAGCCAAACACGAUCUAAAAUUUUCAGCUCAAAAUCUAAACAAGUUGAACACGAGUUAGGGUCAACUCGCUCGUAUUCAGUUCAAUAUCGAUCGAAUAUAUAUAUUAUAAUUUUUUACUAUUUGGAUUUUAUGCCAACUCAAAUAUAAAAAGACCAAUAUUUUCUGAAUUUUAUCUAUUAGAUUAAGAUUCUAAUUUUCUAAUUAUCUUUCAACCUUUCACUCGGUAGUAGGGCUCACAACCUAACUUGUUGUUCAUCAACCAGUCCAUGUUUGUCUCGUUGAUAAAUAAUUAAGUUGAAUACAAGCUAAAAUUUUCAACUCGAUAUUUUAACAAGCUCGCUCGAGUUUGGCUCGUUUAAUAAAUAAGUAAAAAUGAGCAGUCCCAGCUCGUUCAUAUUUAGCUUGUUGAUAG